GAUGAAGAACGCAGCGAAAUGCGAUAAGUAAUGUGAAUUGCAGAAUUCAGUGAAUCAUCGAAUCUUUGAACGCACAUUGCGCCCGCCAGCAUUCUGGCGGGCAUGCCUGUUCGAGCAUCAUUUCAACCCUCGAGCCCCCCCGGGGGCCUCGGUGUUGGGGGACGGCACACCAGCCGCCCCCGAAAUGCAGUGGCGACCCCGCCGCAGCCUCCCCUGCGUAGUAGCACACACCUCGCACCGGAGCGCGGAGGCGGUCACGCCGUAAAACGCCCAACUUUCUUAGAGUUGACCUCGGAUCAGGUAGGAAUACCCGCUGAACUUAAGCAUAUCAAUAAGCGGAGGA
This 343-nucleotide unclassified non-coding RNA is filed under the name soil metagenome. RNAcentral's name for it is "partial contains 5.8S ribosomal RNA, internal transcribed spacer 2, and large subunit ribosomal RNA". The stretch from base 1 to 120 matches the Rfam family "5.8S ribosomal RNA", at positions 35 to 154 of the family's 154-position model. The record is from RNAcentral.